Molecule: long non-coding RNA, 1831 nt
Organism: Trematomus bernacchii (emerald rockcod)
Lineage: Eukaryota; Metazoa; Chordata; Actinopteri; Perciformes; Nototheniidae
Exons: 4
Source: RefSeq, a predicted model, not a curated record
AAAAGCUAUAUUACCUUAAUAAAAUCUCUAAAUAUCACCAAAGUAAUUGUUUGAGUCGGACAUACCAAAAUAAAUGCUUACAAAUCCAACAGUUAAUUUUGUCUUAAAUUAUUACUAUCAUUUAAGUUGAUGACACGAAAAUAAAUGAGUAUUUGACUAACAAAUUAUAUUUUUAAGAUAUCCUUAAUAUCUUUGGCAAAUUUCAGUCAAAAUAUUUGAGAAUUGGCUAAUUAUACUGAUCAGUUUCAGGAACAGCAAUUAUUACUCAUUCCAAAUCAAUAUUCUUCAUCUUUAACAACAACUUAAGAAAUUGAGUAAAUUACACUAAAACGUCAUGAGUGGACCCCAUUAACAAUCGCGCGCAAAUGCAGUGUGCUCAUGGGAAAUCUACUUUUCUAUCUGCGCCACAUGUGGCAACCGCAACAAGCAAGGAAACACCACGACGAGAACCACCAGGAAAACUCCCUGCAAAUCCUGCACCGACUGCGCUAACGGAGAGAAGUUGAACGAAGAUAACAAAACAGAGGAGGUUGCAGCUUAUGGAAUGGCAAUGUAAGCUCUGCACAUGUGUGGCUUCAGCGAAAGGGUCACUUCUCAAGCACUAUCGAUUGAAGCACGGUACCUUUGGAAUCUGGGAGAAGAUGCGAGUGCCUUGAUCAAGGACUUUGAGGAUGCUGCUGAUGCACCUGUCAGUGUACAAGAGGAGUUGGCAGAGGAGGUGAUGAAGAUGUACCUGCUGCAGAACCAAGAUGGGUCAGUCGAUGAACCUACUGAUGUAGGGAUUGUGAUUGAGGGCAUCCCUGUCCUCAGAAGUCUUAGGGAUCUUAGCAGAGCCUGCUGCUAUCUGUUGGGACUAACCUAUGCCUUGGAUCUGAGAUACCCCAAGAAUCUCAAAUAUAGUUUUGAGGUAUUCCAAAAACUACUGUUGGAGCUGGAUCCUGGCAACCUUUCAACCAAGGUUCAGAGACUGAAAAAUUGCCUGCAUAUGUAGUUGCCGACUACUGUUCAACAAGAUGCUAAAAGGUACGAGUUGAGAGUUCCAUUGAUUGAAUUGCAUUUUGGACUGGUAUUGUUGUAAAGUGUCACUGUUCUUGGUGCAUUUCAGUCAUAUGCAGAGUUCAGUUCAGCCCGUUGCUCCCAUAGCUCAAUGGAAAUGUUCACAUGCUCAUUGGCAAAAAUAUACCUGGUUGAAAGUUAAGCUAGAUAAAAUGUCUAAAAGUUUUAUUGCUAAAUAAUCAAAUUUGAGAUUUCCAUUGAUGCUAAGAUGUCUCUGCUGCAAUUGGUCUUGUUGCAUUUUACCCGUGUUUAAAAGGACCGCUUAGUUAUAUGCAGAGCUCAAUUCAGCUCAUCGUUUUUAUAGCUUGGCCAUUGUUACCAGGGCUCUCCCUUCUUAGUCGAUUAGUUGACUUUAUUUGUGGUUUUGGUCGAUGAAGAUUUCUUUAGUCAAUUAGUAAUAUUUUAAUGUAUUUUUUUUCAUGGUGAAUGACUUAUUUGUAAGAAACGUAUAUCUAUGAGUGGCCGUUAGGGACAUUAUUCAGAAAUACCAUUCACAUACACAUGUGAAGCACUCUCAUACACACAACUGAAACCAAAAUCAUUUACAAACAUAUGUAAAAAUCUCUCAUACACACAUGUGAAACGCUCUCACACACAUAUGAAACAAUCUCUUAUACACAAAUGAAACGCUAUCAUAUACACAUGAAAUGCGAUUUCAGUAUGUUGUGUGAGAGGGAUUUCAGUUGAAACGGAAGGCAUCUCAGUUGAUAAAGGAAGUCGAUUUCAGAAAAGCAAACACAAUAUUAUGUCCGUUUGCGAUUGUUCCAUCAUGUCU